UGUUUGGUGCUCAGGCAGUAGCCCACUAGCCCAAAACUCCAAAUCUGAUUGUGCGAUUCAUCUGCUCAUCGGCUCACUCACAGCAACAGACCGGCGACCGCAGAAGCUCCCACGCCGACAUUAGAGGUUGACGGCAGCGUUGCAGGGAUUAAACUUUCAGUUUUGGUGAUCGGUGUAGAAAUCUACAUCUGGUUAUUAAGCCGGUUAUAGUGUUUACUUCAGCUGUUGCUGCGGCUUUAACCAAUCCGCGAUUAAAGCAUUGGCAGCGACUGGACAACAGGAAGUUCAUAAACA
Molecule: long non-coding RNA, 294 nt
Organism: Ipomoea triloba (trilobed morning glory)
Lineage: Eukaryota; Viridiplantae; Streptophyta; Magnoliopsida; Solanales; Convolvulaceae
Exons: 3
Source: RefSeq, a predicted model, not a curated record